AUUGAACGCUGGCGGCGUGCUUAACACAUGCAAGUCGUGCGGUAACAGGCGUAGCAAUACGUGCUGACGAGCGGCGAACGGGUGCGUAAUACAUGGGAAUCUGCCCUUUAGUGGGGAAUAACCCGGCGAAAGCCGGGCUAAUGCCGCAUAAGAUCUUCGGAUGAAAGCGGGGGAUCGUAAGACCUCGCGCUGAUGGAUGAGCCCAUGUCGGAUUAGCAGUUGGUGAGGUAACGGCUCACCAAGGCGACGAUCCGUAGCUGGUCUGAGAGGACGGCCAGCCACACUGGGACUGAGACACGGCCCAGACUCCUACGGGAGGCAGCAGUGGGGAAUAUUGGACAAUGGGGGAAACCCUGAUCCAGCGACGCCGCGUGUGUGAAGAAGGCCUGCGGGUUGUAAAGCACUUUCAGUAGGGAAGAAAGCCGAGUGCUAUAUCACUCGGUCUUGACGUUACUUACAGAAGAAGCACCGGCUAACUCCGUGCCAGC
This 488-nucleotide ribosomal RNA is filed under the name uncultured bacterium. RNAcentral's name for it is "bacterial SSU rRNA". It matches the Rfam family "Bacterial small subunit ribosomal RNA", at positions 30 to 512 of the family's 1533-position model. The record is from RNAcentral.